Molecule: non-coding RNA, 74 nt
Organism: Podarcis lilfordi (Lilford's wall lizard)
Lineage: Eukaryota; Metazoa; Chordata; Lepidosauria; Squamata; Lacertidae
Source: the annotation of a GenBank genome assembly
UCCUGAAAUAGCUCAGUUGGUAGAGCGUGAGACUCUUAAUCUCAGGGUCGUGGGUUUGAACCCCACAUUGGGCA